Molecule: RNase P RNA, 356 nt
Filed under: Alphaproteobacteria bacterium
Lineage: Bacteria; Pseudomonadati; Pseudomonadota; Alphaproteobacteria
Description: RNase P RNA component class A
Rfam family: Bacterial RNase P class A
About the family: Ribonuclease P (RNase P) is a ubiquitous endoribonuclease, found in archaea, bacteria and eukarya as well as chloroplasts and mitochondria. Its best characterised activity is the generation of mature 5'-ends of tRNAs by cleaving the 5'-leader elements of precursor-tRNAs.
Source: RNAcentral
UCAGAAGAUCGGGCAGCUGCUGGCCUUACGGCGAGAGGAAAGUCCGGGCUUCACGGAAAAACGGCGCCGGGUAACCCCCGGGGGGCGCGAGCCUACGGACAGUGCAACAGAAAGCAAACCGCCUGAUUAUUCAGGUAAGGGUGAAAGGGUGCGGUAAGAGCGCACCGCGCGGCUGGUAACAGCAGCGGCACGGUAAACCCCGCCGGAAGCAAGACCGAAUAGGAACACAUGAUGGCGUUUUUCCGCGCCGUGUUCGGGUUGGUCGCUCAAGCGCCUUCGUGAGACCGGCGCGUAGAUGAAUGGUUGCCGCUUCGCUUUGUGGAGUACAAAACCCGGCUUAUAGAUUUUCUGAAACU